GCCUAGCCCAGAUAGAAGCGGUAUCCUUUAUAAGGCAAUUUUUCUUUGCCUUAUAAAGAUACAAGCGGAUAGCUUGAAAUUGC
Molecule: small RNA, 83 nt
Filed under: Flavobacterium sp. 103
Lineage: Bacteria; Pseudomonadati; Bacteroidota; Flavobacteriia; Flavobacteriales; Flavobacteriaceae
Description: Flavo-1 RNA
Rfam family: Flavo-1 RNA
Source: RNAcentral